CACGGGGGGAGCAAGCGUUGUUCGGAAUCACUGGGCGUAAAGGGCGUGUAGGCGGUUCGGUAAGUGGAAUGUGAAAUGCUCCGGCUCACCCGGAGUACUGCAUCCCAAACUGCCGAGCUUGAGUAUGGGAGAGGAUGAGGGAAUUCCUGGUGUAGCGGUGAAAUGCGCAGAUAUCAGGAGGAACACCGGUGGCGAAGGCGGGUCUCUGGGCCGAUACUGACGCUGAGGAGCGAAAGCGUGGGGAGCGAACAGG
RNAcentral lists this ribosomal RNA (253 nucleotides) under uncultured bacterium. RNAcentral describes it as "partial 16S ribosomal RNA". It matches the Rfam family "Bacterial small subunit ribosomal RNA", at positions 524 to 776 of the family's 1533-position model. The record is from RNAcentral.